GGUUGGGCGAAAAGCUUCAAGAAAUGAAUUGGUCGGGGAACCAAUU
This 46-nucleotide non-coding RNA is filed under the name unclassified sequences. The record is from RNAcentral.